GCAAGUCGAGCGAAGCACUUUGUUUUCAAUCUUCGGAGGAAGAACGAAGUGACUGAGCGGCGGACGGGUGAGUAACGCCUGGGCAACCUGCCUCAUACAGGGGGAUAACAGUUAGAAAUGACUGCUUAUACCGCAUAAGACCACGGUACUGCAUGGUACAGUGGUAAAUACUCCGGUGGUAUGAGAUGGGCCCGCGUCUGAUUAGCUGGUUGGUGAGGUAACGGCUCACCAAGGCGACGAUCCGUAGCCGGCCUGAGAGGGUGACC
RNAcentral lists this ribosomal RNA (266 nucleotides) under uncultured bacterium. RNAcentral describes it as "partial 16S ribosomal RNA". It matches the Rfam family "Bacterial small subunit ribosomal RNA", at positions 57 to 305 of the family's 1533-position model. The record is from RNAcentral.